This 195-nucleotide ribosomal RNA is filed under the name uncultured eukaryote. RNAcentral's name for it is "partial 18S ribosomal RNA". It matches the Rfam family "Eukaryotic small subunit ribosomal RNA", at positions 1 to 193 of the family's 1831-position model. The record is from RNAcentral.
CAAAACCUGGUUGAUCCUGCCAGUAGUCAUAUGCUUGUCUCAAAGAUUAAGCCAUGCAUGUCUAAGUAUAAACAUUUAUACUGUGAAACUGCGAAUGGCUCAUUAAAUCAGUUAUAGUUUAUUUGAUAGUAACUUGCUACUUGGAUAACCGUGGUAAUUCUGCAGCUAAUACAUGCGUUAAAUCCCGACUUUAUG